Molecule: long non-coding RNA, 581 nt
Organism: Paralichthys olivaceus (Japanese flounder)
Lineage: Eukaryota; Metazoa; Chordata; Actinopteri; Pleuronectiformes; Paralichthyidae
Source: RefSeq, a predicted model, not a curated record
GACGGCACAAUGAGGAGCAGGGCUGUGUGAAGUGCAUUGUGGUCGGUGGCUGCAGCAGCAGAGAACCACAUGAAUGUAGCAUAACUAGAAAAUAAAAACCUCCCUCUGGUUCACGAGAAGUACAGCAGGAAGCUAAUAUCUACAGAGGCAGUUCAGGCCCAGUAGUUACAGGCUGACCCCUGAGUGUUGCAGAACACACCUCAUGGUGCUGCCAUGCGUGGAGGACACGGAGAAGAUGGAGGAAGUAUACGUUAAGUCAAUUGCUGAGAAAUAGAUCAUCUCAUUCAGAAGUCCCUGGUUGAAGACAGAGUUGGACUUUGAUGACUGAAGUGUGUUACUGGACUAUUUGGUGUUGAUGGCUGUGUGAUCACCAUCAAACAUGAUGGAAUCAUUUCAAAGACUCAGUGAAGAAAAAGCAACCAACUUCAGUGGAGCCGACCUUCGUCCUCAGACUGUUUUUCCUCUCCGUUCGUCAGCGAAGACAAUAUUGACUGGUCCCUUUUUAGUAUUAGAUCACCACUACUAUUAGCAAUGCUGGACUUUGUUUUUUUGUAAAGUUGUAUAUGAAAUAAUAAACUAAG